GAUGAACGCUGGCGGCGUGCCUAAUACAUGCAAGUCGAGCGAACAGACGAGGAGCUUGCUCCUUUGACGUUAGCGGCGGACGGGUGAGUAACACGUGGAUAACCUACCUAUAAGACUGGGAUAACUUCGGGAAACCGGAGCUAAUACCGGAUAACAUGUUGAACCGCAUGGUUCAACAGUGAAAGACGGUCUUGCUGUCACUUAUAGAUGGAUCCGCGCCGCAUUAGCUAGUUGGUAAGGUAACGGCUUACCAAGGCAACGAUGCGUAGCCGACCUGAGAGGGUGAUCGGCCACACUGGAACUGAGACACGGUCCAGACUCCUACGGGAGGCAGCAGUAGGGAAUCUUCCGCAAUGGGCGAAAGCCUGACGGAGCAACGCCGCGUGAGUGAAGAAGGUCUUCGGAUCGUAAAACUCUGUUGUUAGGGAAGAACAAAUGUGUAAGUAACUAUGCACGUCUUGACGGUACCUAAUCAGAAAGCCACGGCUAACUACGUG
This 497-nucleotide ribosomal RNA is filed under the name uncultured bacterium. Its description in RNAcentral is "partial 16S ribosomal RNA". It matches the Rfam family "Bacterial small subunit ribosomal RNA", at positions 28 to 507 of the family's 1533-position model. The record is from RNAcentral.